RNAcentral lists this long non-coding RNA (2794 nucleotides) under Homo sapiens (human). Its description in RNAcentral is "non-protein coding LINC01942:13". Lineage: Eukaryota; Metazoa; Chordata; Mammalia; Primates; Hominidae. The record is from RNAcentral.
AGUGAACUGGUCCCCUUAGCAGCUGACCUCCUCCUCCAGCCCUGUGGCUGCCUCCUCUCCAACAGGGACCCUCCUGGUGAAAGAAAAAGAGACUUGGUAAUUCACUGAGCAUCACCCAAGACCGGGCGCAGACCUACACCCUGGCGUAUAAAAGACGUAGUACUCACGUCAUUCCUGUUUCACAGAUGCACAGACUUACUCUUGGAGAGGCUCCUCCCAAAAGUCACCCAGCUGAUUUUCAUCCACUUGGCUCCCCAAGUUGCUGCUCGACCGCUCUCUGACCUGGAUUCACUGAGGACACAUCAGGCCUUUGCCACGGGCUCCAUGGAGUGGCCGGAGCCCAGGGCUGGUUGUACACCGUGGUUUCCUAGAGGAACUCAUGCACAUGUGUCCUGGAGACCUGCAAGAGGACAGCACCAUGGAGAUGACCAGCAACUAAUACCACCCAAAGGUCCACCAACAGGAGAAUGGAUACCCCAGCAGGGGUGCAUGCAUGCAACGGAACACACCACGUACUGGUGAGAGUGAAUCAAUGUCGGUCACACGCAUCAACGCCGAUGAGGCUGAGACUCGUAAUAUCAAAUUUAGAAUUGCAAGUAGCAGAAGGAUCAAAGUUAUAUUUGUAAUAAAGCUUAAACACAAGCAAAUCGAGCACUGUAUUGUUUAGGCACACAUUCACAUUUGGUAAAGACAUAAAGCAAAGCAAGGGAACGAGACAAAAAUGAAAUCCCAGAGUAAUCAGGUGGUCAGGUCUUGGGGGGUGGCGUGGAGUUGGGGAAGGGCAUCAGAGUGGAUCUCACCUCAGCUCCGACUGCUUUGGGAAGUUCUAGUUCUGACAUGGAGUGGUGGGUUCACAGCUGUUUGAUUGCUUGUUAUGCUUUAUAACAAUAUAAACUGCAUAUGUUCAGUUGAAAUAUUUCAUAAUAAAGGUUUUUUAAAAAAGAACAUUGGGCUCAUCUUUCCCAUCAGAUACAGGCAUUUUUGUUUUGAAUUUCUAUUUCCUUUUUUUAAUGAGCAAGGAUCGUUUGCCUCUGAAAAUAUAAAUUAAAAAAAAAAAUAAGGCUGGGCACAGUGGCUCACGCCUGUCAUCCUAGUACUUUGGGAGGCCGAGGUGGGUGGAUCACUUGAAGUCAGGAGUUCGAGACCAGCCUGGGCAACAUGGUGAAACCCCAUCUCUACCAAAAAUAUAAAAAAUUAGCCAGGCGUGGAGGCGUGCGUCUGUAAUCCCAGCUACUUGGGAGGCUGAGGCAGGAGAAUCGCUUGAACCCGGGGGGCAGAGGUUGCACGAGCCGACAUUGUGUCACUGCACUCCAGCCUGGGUGACAGAGCGAGACUCCAUCUCAAAAAUAAAUAAAUUAUUUAAAUAUUUUUUUAGAAAAAGCACUGGAUUUGCAGUUGGGAGCACAAGACUUGGGGUUGCCCCUUCCCACAACCACUGUCAUUGCUGGGACCUCUGCAGCCAUCUCCUCCCGGCCUCCAUCCUCACCCACUCCAUUUCAGUCUCUGUUUGGCCCCCAGCUGAGUUAUCUUUGUAACCAUAAAUGGCAUUCGCUCAUUUUACUGCUUCCUGAAGUCCAAGCCUGUUCUUUUCAACCAUGUUUCUCCCUGUUCCUCUUCACCAUUUGUAUGUAGCCAGAUGUAGAGUUCAUGGAACCAAAAACCUGCCUUCUGCUUCUGUGUCUUUGCUCAAGCUGUACCUGGGAAAAUAAGUCAUCAGGUCUGAGCACCAGCGUCUGGGUCUCAGUGCUCAGCAUGCAAAAGAGACUGGGUUUAGGCUCUGUCACUCACCAUGAAUUCUACACGGAAUGACUUUUCUGUCCCUAAGUGAUCCUUCCAGGCUCAUUUCAGGCAACACCUCUUCCAGGAAGCCUUCCCUGAUAUCCAGCCUUUAUUCUCACAGCUCCUCUGGUAAUCCCUAUCAAAGUACCCUGAGAUUUCCACAGUACUUUGGAAUUUUCUGUGUAUGUGCCUCCUCCACUAGACUACCUACUCCCCAAAGGCAAAAACUGGGUCUUAUUUUGUUUGUCUCAAUAGCAACUGUACCAGCCGUGGCAUGGUGGCACUCAAAUGGUAACGCCCUGAGGGAAAGGUUUUGCCUGUUUUGCUCAUCUAUGUAUUCUAAGUGCCUAGAACACUGCCUGGCAUAUGGUAGCUGUGCUGCAAAUGGUUAUCGAGUGAAUGAAUAAAUGUUAACCUGUACUGAGUACUGAGUAAAGUUCUAUUGCUUGGAAGCUGUGUGAGCUUUGGUGAGACACUUAACGUCUCUGAGCCUCCCUUUCUCCCUCUGUCAAUGGGGAGAUUAAUAGUACUAUUCUUGAAGGAUCACCAUGAGAUUUGGCAGAAAGAUGCAUGUGACAGAGCCUAGAAAAUGGCAGGUGCACAGCCCGCGCUGCUUCAUAUGGAUUUAACCCUGGCCCCAGUGGCCUCAGGCAAAUUCCCAGUGGCUCUGAGGUUGUCCAUCUGAGCUCAGAGUCCCCGCUCAGCCUCCCUGGGUGGUCCAUGGGAAAAGGGGGUCGCAGGUCUGUGCUCCUCCUCCUUAGCCACGGGCCAGUGACCCCUAGGGUCACCUCUGACUGCUGGGUCCGUGGAUCUAUUGUGCAGGGCCUGUUGGUGGCUGGGCAGCCUCACUGAGUCUCCAGAGCCCAGCUGGUCAGUGCAGCCAAGGUCAUGGUCCUCAUUCCUUGAAUGGCUCUUUCUUUAAAUUGACGCAAACUCUUCUUCAGCAGCCACAGGUAGCUCCUAACGCAGCCAGCUGUCUGAGCACUCUCUUAGGUCCCUUUGGGUCCUAAAAUGC